RNAcentral lists this ribosomal RNA (427 nucleotides) under uncultured bacterium. RNAcentral's name for it is "bacterial SSU rRNA". It matches the Rfam family "Bacterial small subunit ribosomal RNA", at positions 255 to 674 of the family's 1533-position model. The record is from RNAcentral.
GGGUAAGAGCCUACCAAGGCGACGAUAGUUAGCCGACCUGAGAGGGUGAUCGGCCACAUUGGUACUGAGACACGGACCAGACUCCUACGGGAGGCAGCAGCUANNAAUCUUCCGCAAUGGGCGAAAGCCUGACGGAGCGAUGCCGCGUGAAUGAAGAAUGUCGAGAGAUUGUAAAAUUCUUUUAUAGGUGAGGAAUAAUAGCACUAGGUAAUGAGUGUUAGAUGACGUUAGCCUAUGAAUAAGCUCCGGCCAAUUACGUGCCAGCAGCCGCGGUAACACGUAAGGAGCGAGCGUUGUUCGGAAUUAUUGGGCGUAAAGGGCGUGUAGGCGGUUAAUUAAGUCUUGUUUGAAAGACCAGUGCUCAACACUGGAAACGGACAGGAAACUGAUUAACUAGAAUCCGGUAGGGAAAUGUGGAAUUUCUAGU